RNAcentral lists this long non-coding RNA (1714 nucleotides) under Gallus gallus (chicken). Its description in RNAcentral is "lncRNA (ENSGALG00010029884.1)". Lineage: Eukaryota; Metazoa; Chordata; Aves; Galliformes; Phasianidae. The record is from RNAcentral.
CGGGGGGUCAGGUGCAGCGAUCAGCUCUGGCACAGCAGCACGCUGCCACGGGCAGAACGCACCCAGACCGGCUCCGCUCUGAUAGCGCGGCUCUCCCCACGCUGCUGUCCCUGCAGCCCGCUGUGGGCUCGGGUCCCCCCUCGCCUGUGCUGACACGGCCGCAGCAACCCAUCCCUCGCACCCCACGCUGCUCGCCUGCGUCUCGGUGCGAGGCAAACCCUCCCAAAGCAAACAGCGGUUGCUGCCGUCUGCACCGACUCAGCUGCGCUGAAGGCAGCGGUCGGAGCGAAGUGCAGCUCGGAGAAGGCUGUGGGGAAGAGCGUGUUGCGUGGCACGUGGCGGGGCAGGAAACGCGCUGCAGCGGGCGAUGCUUUAUCAGGGCAGCCCACCCAGAAGCCGUUCAUCUCCCUGCAGCUGCAGACCUGCGGCUGAGAGCGCUGGGGGCUUUCUCCCAGGGAGGCGAGAGGAACCUGGGCUAUCACGAGGAAACAAGCGCCCGCCCCGUGCCCCCUCUCAGGAAGCAGGGCCCCCUUCCAGCCCGCCGUGUGAGGGGCUCGCAGAUAAGGAGGGGCAGGAAACCUGCCGGGCUUUGCUUCUUUAAGCAAAUAUUUCCCACAGGCUCAGCACCGUGAGUCAGCACUGCCGGAGCCCAGACUUGUUUGCAGCAGCAGCGAGGCGGUGCGGGAGGUGUGGGCUGCGGGAGCCCUUCUGCCCAAACGCCAUCCGGGAUGAAAUGGGGCUAACAGGGAGCAAAAGGCUGAACGGUGCUCGUGGACUCGUUCUGCACCGACCUGCCAGUCUGCAGGCCCCAAAAAUACAGGCACGGCCCAAAGGUUUCUAUUCAGGGCCCAGCAGUGGAAUAAGGAACAUGAGCCGUGGGAUAUCCCGUGUCACCGCAGGCUGCUCAGCCUGGAAGGGGCUGGUGGCAAAGGGAGGAAACGUCAGAAACGCCAUGGACUAUUUUAGAUCUGCAACCUCAGUUCUGCAAAGGACAGCCUGCUGAUGUGCCACGCUCAGCGAGCAGCGGGGAGGAACCCCACGGCAGGAAGAGAGACAGCCCUCUGCCCUUUGCGUUUCGAUUCCCGGUGUCUGUGUGUGUGGAGGUGAUUUGUCCAUAAUUGUUUGCUUUCUCCGGAGUCCUUUGAAGCGCCUGUCUCCCAACCGGUCCCCUCUUAAGAAUAAAUGCUUCCAAGCCGCCAAUAACACGUGAGCCAUGAUUACAGCCCGGCUCCUCGCUGAGGGCCGUGAGGUCACCGAGGCAGCGCAGUGGGAACGGUUUUGCCUUCUGUGUGUGGGGUUGGGCAGAAGGACCCCCUGUGCUGCAGUGAGGGGCGGGGAGGGCUCUGUGUGGUGCUGGGGGGGCUCUCCGGGCACCGCGGCCUUUUCUUUUUGCUUUAUUGCCAUACCGAGUAUUUAUAUGGGGGAAGGAAGCGGUGUUUAAGGACGGUCUGUGCCCUCAGUGUGCCCCUUUGGAGGGCGUUACGAUGGGCUUUAAUUCCCUCAGCCCGUUUUCUUGCCCUUCUUGCCUCCUGUCUGCUGCAGGAGGUAAAGCCUCGCUGCGCACUGCCCGCGUGGGGCUCUCCAUCCCACCAGCCAAAACGUGGGCUCUCUGUUGGGUCUCUCCAUCCCAAGUGUGUCCCUCUGGGACUCCCCACCCCUCCGCCCUGCCAACAGAGCGCGCCGCCUCCUCACCCCGAAUCCCACCGCCCCGUCG